UGCUGUAGGAUUUUUGCAAAUUGGUUGGAUUUUGAAGUGUGUACGUAUCAAUUCUAUUGUAAUACCUUUUUAUGGAAAGUAAUGGAUGUCGGAGAACACUUCAACAUCGUUCUGUACCAUUGUUUUAAGACUGUUUCGUAACACAGCACAUGACAUUAGUCAUUUUAGAAUGACUACACAUGGCACAUACCUGUACUGUAUAAUGAUAUAUCAUACAUAUAUACACUUUAUAGUAAGGUUUUUAACGGUGUUUAGUACGUGCUUAUGUGGUGGUUAAAGGAGAUAAUAGUGUGUGAAAACUGGCUCUCUCAAUAUCGAAAACAUGCAACAGAUGCGAGGUGCCUGAUCAUGCAGUUAGAACUCAAGAACUGACAUUUUGUGGUUUACCAGUAGGCAAGAAUUAGCAGUCGUGAAAAUUAAACUUUUGAAUUCUUAUAGUUUUGCUUGGCAUCAAAUUUUUUAACAAGCACUGCUAUUUAAAAUUCAGAAUUUGAGCAAGCCCGAAAGUAGUCCAAAUAAUUGUACGUUGACGGAUUUUUUUUAGAUUUUUGAUAUGGCAAAUCCUUCACGUACAAAUUGUUUAGUAUCAAAAGUGGGUAGUUGUUCCGAUCAGGAUUCCGGGUUAAAGCAUAUAGCGUCUAUACAAUAUAAUAACAAGAAAUAUUACCAGAUAAUGUUAUUUUAUAUUAGUUCCGUACGCAUACAAAAAAAAUAUCCAACUUGUAAUUAUGAGUUUGACGGCUUUUCUUCAUUUCAUUCUGUCAAAACAUAACGAUAUAUACAUGAAGGGCACCUGCAAGGCUUCAGGGCACAGUUUUAAAUCGCUCGGAACAUUUCGGCCAUGGCCAACUUGUUACGAUUGUAUAACGAGGUCUAUCUCGAAGUAUUGUCGUAGGAGGCCGAGUUAUUACGAUUGUAUCAAGUUGUUCCCCUUCGCAUAAUUGUUAUCUGUGUCAGUCAACUUUCAUUUUAUUGGAAAGGUAAACAACUUGUUUUAAUGCAUUAAAUGCUUGUUUAGUGCAAAAUAAUAUUUCACUUACAUGGCAAAAUAUGAAUUUAACUCUUUAUGAUCAAUUUCAACCAUAAAAUUCUUUACUUAAAACAAUUUCAAUAUUUUUAAAACACCCCCGUUUUUGGCACAUUCCCGUUUAGACGUUAGGGAUUGGAAGAAUCCCUUAUGACACGUCUAUUAUUUUAGACUAGCCCGAAAGACAUUUUACCAGUGCAGGGCUUGUGCUUAUAUUGACCACUAUAAUUAUACAUUGACAGUAUCUGUCAAUGUAUAAUUGUAGUGGUCAAUAUUUAAUAUUGACCACUAUAAUUAUACAUUGACAGUGAUAUAUUUUACGAUUUUUGAUAUGGCAAAUCAUUCACGUACAAGUUAUUUUGUAUCGAAUGUGGGUAGUUAUUCCGAUUGCAUCUAUAAAAUAUCUUAAAAACAAGAAAUAUUACCAGAUAAUGUUACUUAAAUAAUAGUUCCGUACACAAAAAAAAACAAAUAUCCAACAAAUUAUUAUGAGUUUGAUGCAUGUUUCUUCAUUUCAUACUGUCAAAACAUAACAAUAUACAAUACAUGAAUGACACCUGCAAGGCUGCGGUUCACAGUUUAACAACAAUUGGAACACUUCAGCCAUGGCCGAGUUGUAACGAUUGUAUAUAAGAGGUCUUUCUCGAAGCUUGCCGAAGAUGGUCAAGUUUUAAGCUUGGUACAAUUGUUGUCUGUGUCGGUCAAGUUUCGUUUUGUUGGAAAGAUGUUUUUGGCCAGAAUCAACGCCCUUGCAGAAAAAAGCCAACCAAAACUACCUUCAGACAAACACGGCUGAAAUUGAGCUGAAUUUGUGCUAUAUGCAGUAUAUCGAUCAAUACAUAGGUAAUGGAGUGUUUGCUAGGCAAGAGCUCUUGAAGGGGCAGUUUAUUCUCGAGUACAGAGGAGAACUAUGUAAACAGCAGUCUGAUGGUGAUGAAAUGUUCAAAUACCAUUUCAGACAUAACAACAAGGAAUACUGCAUCGAUGCCUCAAAA
Molecule: long non-coding RNA, 2022 nt
Organism: Mya arenaria
Lineage: Eukaryota; Metazoa; Mollusca; Bivalvia; Myida; Myidae
Exons: 4
Source: RefSeq, a predicted model, not a curated record